AGUCGAGCGGGGGAAGGUGCUUCGCUACCUGACCUAGCGGCGGACGGGUGAGUAAUGCUUAGGAAUCUGCCUAUUAGUGGGGGACAACAUUCCGAAAGGAAUGCUAAUACCGCAUACGCCCUACGGGGGAAAGCAGGGGAUCUUCGGACCUUGCGCUAAUAGAUGAGCCUAAGUCAGAUUAGCUAGUUGGUGGGGUAAAGGCCUACCAAGGCGACGAUCUGUAGCGGGUCUGAGAGGAUGAUCCGCCACACUGGGACUGAGACACGGCCCAGACUCCUACGGGAGGCAGCAGUGGGGAAUAUUGGACAAUGGGGGGAACCCUGAUCCAGCCAUGCCGCGUGUGUGAAGAAGGCCUUUUGGUUGUAAAGCACUUUAAGCGAGGAGGAGGCUACUGGUAUUAAUACUACCGGAUAGUGGACGUUACUCGCAGAAUAAGCACCGGCUAACUCUGUGCCAGCAGCCGCGGUAAUACAGAGGGUGCGAGCGUUAAUCGGAUUUACUGGGCGUAAAGCGUGCGUAGGCGGCUUUUUAAGUCGGAUGUGAAAUCCCUGAGCUUAACUUAGGAAUUGCAUUCGAUACUGGGAAGCUAGAGUAUGGGAGAGGAUGGUAGAAUUCCAGGUGUAGCGGUGAAAUGCGUAGAGAUCUGGAGGAAUACCGAUGGCGAAGGCAGCCAUCUGGCCUAAUACUGACGCUGAGGUACGAAAGCAUGGGGAGCAAACAGGAUUAGAUACCCUGGUAGUCCAUGCCGUAAACGAUGUCUACUAGCCGUUGGGGCCUUUGAGGCUUUAGUGGCGCAGCUAACGCGAUAAGUAGACCGCCUGGGGAGUACGGUCGCAAGACUAAAACUCAAAUGAAUUGACGGGGGCCCGCACAAGCGGUGGAGCAUGUGGUUUAAUUCGAUGCAACGCGAAGAACCUUA
Molecule: ribosomal RNA, 919 nt
Filed under: Acinetobacter sp. Pao22
Lineage: Bacteria; Pseudomonadati; Pseudomonadota; Gammaproteobacteria; Moraxellales; Moraxellaceae
Description: bacterial SSU rRNA
Rfam family: Bacterial small subunit ribosomal RNA
Source: RNAcentral